GGCUGGUCCGAUGGUAGUGAGUUAU
This 25-nucleotide non-coding RNA is filed under the name Homo sapiens (human). Lineage: Eukaryota; Metazoa; Chordata; Mammalia; Primates; Hominidae. RNAcentral also lists the same sequence under 1 other name. The record is from RNAcentral.